This is a non-coding RNA of Styela clava, 464 nucleotides long. NCBI's taxonomy places the organism in Eukaryota, Metazoa, Chordata, Ascidiacea, Stolidobranchia, Styelidae. The record is from RefSeq and is a predicted model, not a curated record.
UUGUCGAGGUUUCAGAAAACGAUUUCAAGUUUCUUUUACGUUGAGGAUAAAAAAAUAUGGCGGAAUGUAAACCACAUUAAAGUUUGUGCUUGGAAUACUUUACUCGGGAAACACAAAAACCGAAGUCAGGCAAAUUUGCCCGCACUUAUCAAAAUCGCUAUCAGAUUUGGACGUCGACUUUAUUGACAACACAACAGACGAUGUGUUUUCCUUAAGUUAUGGCGGCGAACAUCAAAACAUUGCCCAGCGUUCCAAUACGUUUCUCAGAAGUAGAAGCACGGACAGACUCGAUUAUGACAUGUCUUUUGAAAUGGAGAAAGGGACAGUGGGAUUUAGUGAAGAGUUGGCCACUACACCGAACAAAGCAAAGGCAAUAGAACGACAAACGGAAUUGGUCGAUGCAAGGUCGCAACCCAAGAUUGCUUGGUCUGAUUUCUUAACUGAUGCAACCAGAAGUAGUCUUG